Molecule: long non-coding RNA, 9401 nt
Filed under: Hordeum vulgare
Lineage: Eukaryota; Viridiplantae; Streptophyta; Magnoliopsida; Poales; Poaceae
Description: long non-coding RNA (HVUL_LNC017050)
Source: RNAcentral
UUUCAAGAGCCUGGUGCAUAGGGUUGUCACCAACGCGGAGAAAGAGCGCUUGUCGGUGGUGCUGGUUUAUACGUUGGAGCUAGAGACACAACUUGAGCCGGUGUCAGAGCUAGUGGAUGACAAGAGACCUGCACGAUACAUGAAGAUCAAGCUCAACGACUACAUGGAAAAAUUCCUUGACACUUAUGCCACUGGGACACUAGCCAUCGACGGCGUGAAGAUCCGAAUAUGAUUCCGUUGUAUGCAAAAGCUCGCUGAGUAAGAUCUAUGAUGAAGUAUCUUCCGUUGACCAGUUUUAACGAGUUUAUAUUUUCACAUAUUUUCAAGAUUUUGUGUGUGUACUCCUCAUGUAAAAUGUUGGGCAGCUUGUGUGGCCGCAUUAAACCCUAAUAUAAAACGUAUCCGCUGUGGGCAACGUACGGAUGCAAAGGAUGGAAUAAAACUUAUCGAUUGUGUGCAACAUGCGGAUGCAAGGAUAGUUUUUCCUGUUAGUAUGUAUCAUUGAUAAGUACCAUUGUGCCUCCGUUUCAAGAAAUUAAGAGACCAUUGUGCCAUGAAAAAUGUGGGUUAACAGUCAGAAUUUCAUGUGUAUCUUUCCUGAAAAAUAGACACCCACUACUAUAGAGUGUGACAUAAAUAGACACCCACUACUAUAGAGUGUGACAUGUCAAUAGCUUCUCGUCGGUGAUUACGAUGUUAGCAUUAACUAGUCACACUACUAGGAAAAACCUUAUAGGAAGGACAUGAGUAGUAGCGCUAGAAAAAGAAAACGCUGCUGCUAAUUAGCAGUAGCGCUGAGCCAGCUGCAUACACCUUAGCAGUAGCGCUGCUAAUUAAAAAGGCGCUACUACUAUGUGGAACCAGACGAUGCCACUGACGGUAGCUGUAGUAGCAGCGUUGCCCAAAAUCCAGCGCUACUACUAAGUAUUUAGCGGUAGCGCUUUGUUUUGCAGCAUCGCUGCUGCUAGUUGGCUCCACUUAGUCGUAGCGCUCGAUGGUGUGCAGUGCUACUACUAAUAGAAUAGCAGCAGCGCUCUCUGUUAUCCAGCGCUACUGCUAGUUGCGGCUGCCCACCYCCUCCCCCCCCCCUCCCCUCCCCACNNNNNNNNNNNNNNNNNNNNNNNNNNNNNNNNNNNNNNNNNNNNNNNNNNNNNNNNNNNNNNNNNNNNNNNNNNNNNNNNNNNNNNNNNNNNNNNNNNNNAGGCCUCCGGUCCCGGCCCCGCCCUCGCCGGCCACCACCCCGCCUGCCUGUCCCCAGCCACUUCACCGUCGUAGGCCCUGGCAUCUUCCCUGCUUCCCCACCGGUCUCUGCUCCCAGUCGCCCCCGCCGGUCCUGGCCCCAUUGCCCCCGCCGUCCACGGCCUCGUCAUCCCCUGCUGCAGCUCCAGUGAGCACGUGCAUAGUGGAUGGUGGCAAGGCAGCUAGGCAUGCUGGAUCUCGGGCUGCUACACCAACCCUCCUCUCUUGUAAUUUUCUACGAAGCACCGAUACUUCAGAAAUUUGUGUAUCGCCGUUCAGUACUUCACCGAUAUUCCGAUACUUCAGAUACGCCUUCGAUACGGGUAUCCCCGAAGUAUCGUCAUUUCCAAUUUAAAAGAAAUGGCGAUACGCGUAUCCUCAAAGUAUCGCCAUUGUGUAUUGCCCAUGCCUUGAUGUAUCGUUGAUCUGUUCAUAUACAUAGUGCACGUGGAUUGUACUAAUGUAGUAGUUGGAUAAAAGUGCUUGUUAAGAAUGUUACUUGUGCAAUUCAUUAUUUGACCCACUCGUGCAAUCCAAAGUUGCUCUUUAUAUAUGUUUGUCAUUUGACAAUCUCAAGUUUUUAAUUUUAAAAGAUUUAUUAAUUUUAUAUUAUCGUGUUAAUAGAUAUUACAGUCUAAAUUGUAUUGUGACAGUCUAUGAUCAAUUGGUCGUAUUAUUCAUUGAUGAUAGUGAGAUUUUAAAAUGAGAAACAAUAAGGUAUGAAAGUAAUUAGGCAAUCAGUGGAUCGGUAUUUUGUUAUCAUCUCAUACAUUUAUUUAUGUUAGUUUUUAUUGCAUGUUAUUUUAUCAUUAUUUAUAUAUGCCUGCCGUAUCGCCGAAUUACUGUUUUUAGAAAUUGUCAUAUCCCGUAUCGCCGUAUCAGUGUCGCCGUAUUGGUGCUUAGUAGGUAAUUUUUAGAUCAACGUGUCCUGUAGUUUGUUCAUGUGUAAUAAGUUAGUUUUGCCUUGUAUCAGAAAGUGAUGAUGUAAUCGGUGUAAAUAGAGUAAUUUUGUAUUGUGAAAUUUAUUCAUUUGUUGUUGAUUCUUGAACGAAGUGUUGAUCGAUACUAUGUUCUUCUUCGUCGUCAGUUCGUGGCCGCCUCUACAAUUGGUUAUUGGUUCAUAAUGUUCUAAUAAAAAAUACUUUGAUGUCUUAUUCUCUGAGGCUGACUGCAAAGACAAUAUUGAGGCUGAUGACAAAGAGUUGACAUCGUCCGUUAGCGUGCGGUUCUGUUAGACUGCCUUUUUUGUCGUCUACUUUGUAACAAAUGAUGGCAAACCAUUUUCAGCAAAAAAAAUUCGUCUACCCGAUCGAAUACUGACGGCAAAAUACCUCUUUGCGGGUGAUAAGACCUCGAUGACGCCUAGAGGGGGGUGAAUAGGCUAUUUAAAAACUUCUUCGGAUUUGGCUUGAAACUAAUGCGGAAAUAAACUAAGAGGGUACUUGUCAAGCACAAAUCCUAAAUGCACUAGGCACUACAACGUGUAUCAACAACACGAUCUACCAAGAUGGACACAAUACAGUUACUAACAAGCACAAGUAAGUUACACAAACUUACUUGAGCUAUAUCACCCGACAAGUAGGUGAAUAACACAAGAUACUAGAUCACACUAUAUCACACGAUAUAUCAAGGGCUGCAAGUAUGAACGUGUGGAUAUAGAGGGUAUGCUUGAAUGAUUAAUCUUGUACAAGAAAUAGCCCAUACAAUAUAAUGAGCACAAACAAUAUGCAAUGUAUGUAUGCUCAUGUAACACAAGUAAACCACAAGUAAGGAGUUAGGGUUAAGGAUAACCAAGGUCACUGAGACGAAGAUGUAUCCCGAUGUUCACUUCCUUGAAGGGAAGCUAGUCACCGUUAGAGAGGUGGAUGUUACCACGAAGGCACACCAAUGCCACGAAGGCUCACCCUAUUCUCCCUUUGAGAUAACACCACGAAGGCGUUUCUCAACCACUAGUCGUAAGCCUUUGAGGUGGCUUCCAAACCCUCACAAACUUUUUCGGGGAGUAAUCACACGGAUUGAUUCCUCUCCGAAGGACUCCUACCGCCUAGGAGUCUCCAACCUCCAAGAGUAAUAAGAUCACGGGGAAUGCUCAAAACUUGCUCAAAUCUCAAAUAGCUUGGGUUGAGAGGAGGAGAGGGAGACGAUCUAUCUUUUGAUUGGAACAACUCUCAAAGGGGCUCACAAAUGCUCUUGGGAUCUAAGAUUUGGUGUGAGAAAAUGUGUGUGAGGUAGAAGUGUGUUCUUAUGAGGAUAAGGUUGUGUUGGGAUACCCUCUCACGAAGUGGGAGGGGGUAUUUAUAGUGGGGAGAGAAAACAACCGUUGGGGACACUUUAAGUCACAUAGGGUCCGGACGUCCGAUAGUUUCCGGAAGUCUGGGCGACCGCGAGGGGUCGGACGUCCGACAGGGGUCGGUCAUCCGAGGCCUGUAGAUAUCACUGAAAAUACUGUGAAUUGAACAGCGACCGGACGUCCGGAGAAGGCCGGAAAUCCGAGUUAUUCGACUCAACUUCUUCUGGUGCAAGGUUCCGGAUUUUCGAGGCUGGUCGGACGUCCGGCUCUCGGAUGUCCGGAGGGAGCCGGAAAUCCGAGUUAUAUGACUCAAAUACUUCUGUUGGAGGGCUCCGGAUUUCCGAAGCUGGUCGGUCGUCCGACCCUUGACCGGCCCUCGGACGUCCGGAGGGAGCCGGAAGUCCGAGUUAUAUGGCUCAAGUUUCUCUCGUGCAUAGUUCCGGAAUUCCGAAGCUGGUCGGAUAUCCGGGACUCGGACGUCCGGAGGGAGCCGGAAGUCUGAGUUAUAUGGCUCUGAUUUCUUUGGUAUAGGAUUCCGGAUUUCUGAAGCAAUCGGUCGUCCGGCCCUCGGACGUCUGGAGGAAGCCGGAUGUCCGAGGCACUGGUUCUGUUUUCAGAUAACAGCAGAGCAGUGGAGAUGUGGUCUGAGCAAAAUAGUGGAGAUGUAGUUUGAGCAAGUUCAUCGCAAAACCUGUGAUCCCCUCUUAAUAGUGCGGGAUCCCUAAAGACUCAAGAAUCAUAAAAGGGGUACUGAUGACCCAUGCUUGAGUGUAUACUUUUAUUCACUGAUCAUCACUCCGCACAACUAACGUCACAGGAACUGAUACCUUUGGGUUAGCCCUUUCACUUGAGCUUGAUGUUGUUGUUCCUUCUUGGCUCAAGUUGAAAGCAAGACAUGAUAAAUUCUUCAAGUAGCUCUCCCAUACACGAUGUGGAAAGCCUAGCUUAUGUAUUCAUCUUCAUUUGUCCACCAUGUGAACAUCCACAAGAAUCAAGCAUGUAGUGCUCAGGAAUGCUUAUCUUGAUCUUGUCCUUGUUAGCACAUGAGCUUGUCCUUAUCAACACAUGAUCAUNNNNNNNNNNNNNNNNNNNNNNNNNNNNNNNNNNNNNNNNNNNNNNNNNNNNNNNNNNNNNNNNNNNNNNNNNNNNNNNNNNNNNNNNNNNNNNNNNNNNAUGGGAAACAAAAAUUUUCCUACGCGCACGAAGACCUAUCAUGGUGAUGUCCAUCUACGAGAGGGGAUGUGUGAUCUACGUACCCUUGUAGACCGUACAGCAGAAGCGUGAGUGAACAUGGUUGAUGUAGUGGAAAGUCCUCACGUCCCUCGAUCCGCCCCGCGAACCGUCCCGCGAUCAGUCCCACGAUCUAGUGCCGAACGGACAACACCUCCGCGUUCAGCACACGUACAGCUCGACGAUGAUCUCGGCCUUCUUGAUCUAGCAAGAGAGAGGGAAAGGUAGAAGAGUUCUCCGGCAGCGUGACGGCGCUCCGGAGGUUGGUGAUGAUCUUGUCUCAGCAGGGCUCCGCCCGAGCUCCGCAGAAACGCGAUCUAGAGGUAAAACCGUGGAGAUAUGUGGUCGGGCUGCCGUGGCAAAGUUGUCUCAAAUCAGCCCUAAAACCCCACUAUAUAUAGGAGGGAGGGAGGGGAGGAGGCAGCCUCAAAACCUAAAGGUUUGGCCGAAAUUGGAGGUGGAGGAGUCCUACUCCAAUCCUACUUGGAGUAGGAUUCCACCUUCCCACUUGGAAACUCUUUCCACCUUGUGUUUUUCCUUCUCAAACCUUAUGGGCCUUAGUGGGAACUUAUUCCAGCCCACUAGGGGCUGGUUUAUCUCUUCCCAUAGCCCAUGAGACCCCUUGGGGCGUGACACCCCUCCUGAUGGUCCCCGGCACCCCUCCGGCACUCCCAGUAUACUACCGAUGAGCCCGAAACUUUUCCGGUAAUGCACGAAAACCUUCCGGUAACCAAAUGAGGUCAUCCUAUAUAUCAAUCUUCGUUUCCGGACCAUUCCGGAAACCCUCGUGACCUCCGUGAUCUCAUCCGGGACUCCGAACAACAUUUGGUAACCAACCAUACAACUCAAAUACGCAUAAAAAACGUCGAACCUUAAGUGUGCAGACCCUGCGGGUUCGAGAACUAUGUAGACAUGACCCGAGAGACUCCUCGGUCAAUAUCCAAUAGCAGGACCUGGAUGCCCAUAUUGGAUCCUACAUAUUCUACGAAGAUCUUAUCGUUUGAACCUCAGUACCAAGGAUUCAUAUAAUCCCGUAUGUCAUUCCCUUUGUCCUUCGAUAUGUUACUUGCCCGAGAUUCGAUCGUCAGUAUCCGCAUACCUAUUUCAAUCUCGUUUACCGGCAAGUCUCUUUACUCGUUCCGUAAUACAAGAUCCCGUAACUUACACUAAGUCACAUUGCUUGCAAGGCUUGUGUGUGAUGUUGUAUUACCGAGUGGGCCCCGAGAUACCUCUCCGUCACACGGAGUGACAAAUCCCAGUCUCGAUCCAUACUAACUCAACGAACACCUUCGGAGAUACCUGUAGAGCAUCUUUAUAGUCACCCAGUUACGUUGCGACAUUUGAUACACACAAAGCAUUCCUCCGGUGUCCGUGAGUUAUAUGAUCUCAUGGUCAUAGGAACAAAUACUUGACACGCAGAAAACAGUAGCAACAAAAUGACACGAUCAACAUGCUACGUCUAUUAGUUUGGGUCUAGUCCAUCACAUGAUUCUCCUAAUGAUGUGAUCCCGUUAUCAAGUGACAACACUUGCCUAUGGCCAGGAAACCUUGACCAUCUUUGAUCAACGAGCUAGUCAACUAGAGGCUUACUAGGGACAGUGUUUUGUCUAUGUAUCCACACAAGUAUUGUGUUUCCUAUCAAUACAAUUAUAGCAUGGAUAAUAAACGAUUAUCAUGAACUAAGAAAUAUAAUAGUAACUAAUUUAUUAUUGCCUCUAGGGCAUAUUUCCAACAGCCAGGCCCGUCGACUGUCGAGUACAACGUCCAGCGCCUCCCGGAAGAUCAGGUGGGAGCUGCCUAGGGGGCCAUGGUGCAGGCGGAGCUGAUGGCGGGAGAGGCCAAGAAAGCGUACGACUCCAUCGCGUCCGUGUACAAGCGAAGCUUGGAACUACGGGACGAUAUCCCAGUAAGUGGGCUAGUAAGUAUUUACCUUCCUCUUGUAACCCAGUGGGUGUUUGAGCAAUGCACUCGGAUAUUGUAUGAUUAUUUUGCAGUGGGUUCACUCUUAGUGAACCCACUGGGUGUACUCCCCGAGACCGCUGUCGACUGCUUGUGUCGGCAGGGGUCUGAAGAACUUAGAAAUUUUAUUGUUGUCCUUGUUGAAUUUGUCUGAUCGUCUCUUGGCGCUGACUUGUAGAAAACUUGCGAGAUGGGAGCAGCGUACGAGACUCUGAGGGCUGAAAAGGUUCAGUUUGCUGGGGAACUGGAUGCAGCAAUGGUUGCCUUGGCUGGUAUGAAGGAUGUUCUGGCUGAACGAGAAAAGUCCUUGGAGGAGGCCCGUGAGGCAAACAAGGCAUUGGCGGCUGAAGUGGAAAAAUGGGGAAACAAAGGACCGAGCUGAUGGGACAGAUGAAAGUGUUGAACAGGCGGUGCAUAGCACAGGAAAAUUACGUUAGUGACUGGGCCCGGAAGAUGAUAGCGCUUCUCGGUGGUAAGUUCUGUUUUUCCGAGUGCUUGUGGACUGUGCAUUUCAUUCUGUGCUUACUGUUUGCUCGCCCUGUCUUUGCAGAUUUUUGAAUGGACGUUGAGGCUGAGGCAGCUGACGUUGAGCGGUCGAUUCUUCUGAACGUUCCACUCGGCGAGGACGCCAAUCAAGAUAUGCUCCGAGCGCACAUUCGCGUGGGCAAGGUGGGGCCUUUCAUCGGUCGACUGAGAGAGGUCGUCAGCUGAAUCGACAAGGAGCUUUGGCCAGAAGACGAGUCUCGGCAGGAGAUGGAAGGCUUGAUGACUCGGCUAGAGGAGGUCCCGAACCGAGUGCAGGCGUGAAAGAAGUCUGCGGCUCGCUGUGGUGCGGACAUCGCUCUGUCGCUGGUGCGAGUGCACUGCAAGGAGGCUCGCGAAGAGAAGCUGAAGGCGUUGCAGGUCGCCAACACGAAAAGCUUCGAUUCGAAGACUUCAUGGAGACCUUCCUUGAGAGCGCCACUCGCAUCGUCGACGGGAUCAACCUUGACACAUUCAUGGAGCCUGCCAGUCCUAGUGCCAGUCCUGACGACGUUUAAGAAAACUUUUACCUCGGUAUGCCGAGUGUUGGUUGUAAGAAACUUUGGCCACUGCUGUUGGCCGUCACAUUCGUGGUUUGGUGUGGAUAAGCUUGAUCUACACCGAGCCAACUAUCCUUAGGCGAACUUUGAAUUUGAAUCGAAUCUUUGUCUCUUCUUUUGCCAAAGAGUUGUUGAUACGAUUUUGGCUCGUGGUUUUGUUUGGCGUUUCUUGGUGAAACCAAUGGCAAACAUGUGGAGCAUGUAAUUGUCAGUUGUCUUGACAUCUGCAUGAGCCUCACUGAGGGUCUGCUGAGUCUCCGAGUGGAUCUGUAAGAUACACUCGAAGGCAAUUGAGUGCUUAGGCGAUUCGUGAUCGCGGCUAAGUCUUCGUGUGCGACUGUAAGGUCGUACUCGGAGCGAGUUGUUACUCAUGUAAUUGUCAGUGGUCUUGACAUCUACAUGAGCCUCAAUGAGGUUCUGCUACUCAUGUAAUUGGCAGUGGUCUUGACAUCUACAUGAGCCUGAAUGAGGGUCUGCUAAGCCUCCGAGAGGAUCUGUGAGAUACACUCGAAGGAAGCUUUCUAUUUAAGCGAUUCUUGAUCGCAGACAAGUCUUCGAGUGCGACGUUAAGUGCACACUCGGAGAAGGUGUGAAGUUAGGCGAUUCGUGAUCGCAGCUAAGUUUCCGUGAGUGCGAUGGUUAGUGCACACUCGGAGAAAGCUAAUACUUAGGCGAUUCUGGAUCGCAGCUAAGUUCCCGAGUGCGGACGUUAAGUKCACACUCAAGAAGUUAGUACUUAGGCGAUUCUGGAUCGCAGCGUCGCUAGNNNNNNNNNNNNNNNNNNNNNNNNNNNNNNNNNNNNNNNNNNNNNNNNNNNNNNNNNNNNNNNNNNNNNNNNNNNNNNNNNNNNNNNNNNNNNNNNNNNNGUCUUGGGACUUAAGGCCCAUACAGAUGGCUCGAUAAUCACAGUCAACUUCGCCGAUGCCGAGGGGCUCCAGCUUGAGAGAAACGGCGUGUGGUACAACGUGCCCAUUGUUCCAAAUGCAUUGGUUAUGAACAUAGGAGAUAUAAUGGAGGUACUGUGUCUACAGCCAGCUACAUGUAUAAUUGUUUGACCAUGUUCUGUGGAUUGUUAAGCUCAGAUUUAAUACAUCUCUCUAUUUUAUCCUUAUGCAUGCAGAUUUUGAGCAAUGGGUUUUCAAGAGCCUGGUGCAUAGGGUUGUCACCAACGCGGAGAAAGAGCGCUUGUCGUUGGUGCUGGUCUAUACGUUGGAGCUAGAGACACAACUUGAGCCGGUGUCAGAGCUGGUGGAUGACAAGAGACCUGCCCGAUACAUGAAGAUCAAGCUCAACGACUACAUGGAAAAUACCAUGACACUUAUGCCACUGGGACACUAGCCAUAGACGGCGUGAAGAUCUGAAUAUGAUUCCGAUGUAUGCAAGCUCGCUGAGUAAGAUCUAUGGUGAAGUAUCUUCCGUUGACCAGUUUGUAACGAGUUUACGUUUUUACCUAUUUCCCAGAUUUUUGUGUGUGUACUCCUCAUGUAAAAUGUUGGGCAGCUUGUGUGGUCGCAUUAAACCCUAAUAUAAAACUUAUCCGAUGUGSGCARCAUACGGAUGUAAAGGAUGGAAUAAAACUUAUCGAUUGUGUGCAACAUGGG